RNAcentral lists this ribosomal RNA (821 nucleotides) under uncultured bacterium. RNAcentral's name for it is "bacterial SSU rRNA". It matches the Rfam family "Bacterial small subunit ribosomal RNA", at positions 11 to 823 of the family's 1533-position model. The record is from RNAcentral.
GUUUGAUCAUGGCUCAAUUGAACGCUGGCGGCAUGCCUUACACAUGCAAGUCGAACGGCAGCACGGGUGCUUGCACCUGGUGGCGAGUGGCGAACGGGUGAGUAAUAUAUCAGAACGUGCCUCAUAGUGGGGGAUAACGCAGCAAACGCUGUGCUAAUACCGCAUACGCCCUGAGGGGGAAAGCGGGAGACCGUAAGGCCUCGCGCUAUGAGAGCGGCCGAUACCUGAUUAGCUUGUUGGUGGGGUAAAAUCCCACCAAGGACACUAUCAAUAUCUGGUCUGAGAAGACCAUCACCCACUCUGGGACUGACACACGGCCCACACUCCUACGGGAGGCAGCAGUGGGGAAUUUUGGACAAUGGGGGCAACCCUGAUCCAACAGUGCCGCGUGAGUGAAAAAGGCCUUCGGGUUGUAAAGCUCUUUUGUCAGGGAAAAAACAGCAGCUCUAACACAGUCUGCAAAUGACGGUACCUGAAAAAUAAGCACCGGCUAACUACGUGCCACCAGCCGCGGUAAUACGUAGGGGGCGAGCGUUAAUCGGAAUUACUGGGCGUAAAGCGUGCGCAGGCGGUUAUACAAGACAGGCGUGAAAUCCCCGGGCUUAACCUGGGAAUGGCGCCUGUGACUGUAUAGCUAGAGUGUGUCAGAGGGGGGUAGAAAUUCCACGUGUAGCAGUGAAAUGCGUAGAUAUGUGGAGGAACNACCAAUGGCGAAGGCAGCCCCCUGGGACUAGCACUGACGCUCAUGCACGAAAGCGUGGGGAGCAAACAGGAUUAGAUACUCUGGUAGUCCACGCCCUAAACGAUGUCUGACUAGUUGU